ACGCUCGACACCUACGGGAGGCAGCAGUGGGGAAUAUUGCACAAUGGGGGAAACCCUGAUGCAGCGACGCCGCGUGAGCGAAGAAGUAUUUCGGUAUGUAAAGCUCUAUCAGCAGGGAAGAAAAUGACGGUACCUGACUAAGAAGCCCCGGCUAACUACGUGCCAGCAGCCACGGUAAUCUGAGCGGGCUGGCAAGGC
Molecule: ribosomal RNA, 198 nt
Filed under: uncultured bacterium
Lineage: Bacteria
Description: partial 16S ribosomal RNA
Rfam family: Bacterial small subunit ribosomal RNA
Source: RNAcentral